UACAGAGGUCCCAAGCGUUGUUCGGAUUCAUUGGGCGUAAAGGGUGUGUAGGUGGCGCCGUAAGUCGGGUGUGAAAUCUCGGGGCUUAACUCCGAAACUGCAUUCGACACUGCGGUGCUUGAGGACUGGAGAGGAGACUGGAAUUCAUGGUGUAGCAGUGAAAUGCGUAGAGAUCAUGAGGAAGACCGGUGGCGAAGGCGGGUCUCUGGGCCGAAACUGACGCUGAGGAGCGAAAGCGUGGGGAGCAAACAGG
RNAcentral lists this ribosomal RNA (253 nucleotides) under uncultured bacterium. Its description in RNAcentral is "partial 16S ribosomal RNA". It matches the Rfam family "Bacterial small subunit ribosomal RNA", at positions 524 to 776 of the family's 1533-position model. The record is from RNAcentral.